UACGUAAAAUGGUCCCAGACCCACUCGU
RNAcentral lists this small RNA (28 nucleotides) under Bombyx mori (domestic silkworm). RNAcentral describes it as "ovarian small RNA-6135". Lineage: Eukaryota; Metazoa; Arthropoda; Insecta; Lepidoptera; Bombycidae. The record is from RNAcentral.